This 464-nucleotide ribosomal RNA is filed under the name Parvimonas micra. RNAcentral describes it as "bacterial SSU rRNA". It matches the Rfam family "Bacterial small subunit ribosomal RNA", at positions 28 to 495 of the family's 1533-position model. The record is from RNAcentral. Lineage: Bacteria; Bacillati; Bacillota; Tissierellia; Tissierellales; Peptoniphilaceae.
GACGAACGCUGGCGGCGUGCUUAACACAUGCAAGUCGAACGUGAUUUUUGUGGAAAUUCUUUCGGGAAUGGAAAUGAAAUGAAAGUGGCGAACGGGUGAGUAACACGUGAGCAACCUACCUUACACAGGGGGAUAGCCGUUGGAAACGACGAUUAAUACCGCAUGAGACCACAGAAUCGCAUGAUAUAGGGGUCAAAGAUUUAUCGGUGUAAGAAGGGCUCGCGUCUGAUUAGCUAGUUGGAAGGGUAAAGGCCUACCAAGGCGACGAUCAGUAGCCGGUCUGAGAGGAUGAACGGCCACACUGGAACUGAGACACGGUCCAAACUCCUACGGGAGGCAGCAGUGGGGAAUAUUGCACAAUGGGGGGAACCCUGAUGCAGCGACGCCGCGUGAGCGAAGAAGGUUUUCGAAUCGUAAAGCUCUGUCCUAUGAGAAGAUAAUGACGGAUCAUAGGAGAAGCCCCG